CAUCCAGCCACCAUCCACAUUUGGAUCUAACGAUCAAAGAGAAACAUCCGACAAGGAGGUCUGCUUUGACCAUGAUGACGGAUGAGGAAAUCAACCCUGCACUUUGUGUGCUUUGGGCCUUGUGUUUCAAGAAUCCCAAGUCAGUCGGUGAAGACCAGAGGUUGCACACCACAAGCCCAGCGCUGCCAUGCUGAAGGACUGACGGGUCCAACACAGUCUCAUUACUGCCCUGAGAGUGGACCUUGGAGGAAAGGACCACCAAAGGACCCCCAAGGGGCCACAACUGGCUCCUACGGCCCAGAGUUUUAGACCGCAACACCCAUUCUUGUCCAUCCAUACACGGGGAGAUCCAAAC
Molecule: long non-coding RNA, 355 nt
Organism: Esox lucius (northern pike)
Lineage: Eukaryota; Metazoa; Chordata; Actinopteri; Esociformes; Esocidae
Source: Ensembl